GCGGUUGUGGCGGAAUGGCAGACGCGCUAGGUUGAGGGCCUAGUGGGGUAAAACCCGUGGAGGUUCGACUCCUCUCAACCGCACCA
RNAcentral lists this transfer RNA (86 nucleotides) under Alkalicoccus halolimnae. RNAcentral's name for it is "tRNA-Leu". It matches the Rfam family "tRNA". From Rfam's summary of the family: Transfer RNA (tRNA) molecules are approximately 80 nucleotides in length. Lineage: Bacteria; Bacillati; Bacillota; Bacilli; Caryophanales; Bacillaceae. The record is from RNAcentral.